This 540-nucleotide ribosomal RNA is filed under the name uncultured bacterium. RNAcentral's name for it is "bacterial SSU rRNA". It matches the Rfam family "Bacterial small subunit ribosomal RNA", at positions 354 to 896 of the family's 1533-position model. The record is from RNAcentral.
CGAGGACAUAUUGCGCAAUGCUCGAAAGGCUGACGCAGCGACGACGCGUAAAGGAUGAAGUCCGUUAGGACGUAUACUUAUUGAGUGGGGCACGAACGAAUCGCUAUAUGCGUGAGUGAUAGUAUCCCAAGAAUAAGGAUCGGCUAACUACGUCCAGCAGCCGCGGUAAUACGUAGGUUCCGAGCGUUGUCCGGAAUUAUUGGGUGUAAAGGGUGCGUAGGUGGGCGUGUAAGUCGGUGGUGAAAUCCUGCAGCUCAACUUUAAAACUGCCUUCGAAACUGGACGUCUUGAGUAUGGCAGAGGGAUAUGGAAUUCAUGGUGUAGCAGUGAAAUGUGUAGAUAUCAUGAAGAACAUCAGUAGCGAAGGCGGUUUCCUGGUCCGUUACUGACACUGAGGCUCGAAAGCGUGGGGAGCAAACAGGAUUAGAUACCCUGGUAGUCCACGCCUUAAACGAUGGGCACUCGGUGGUGGGCCAUCAAGGUUCAGUGCCCAAGCUAAAGCAUUAAGUACUCCACCUGGGGAGUACGAUCGCAAGAAUG